Molecule: long non-coding RNA, 6672 nt
Filed under: Marmota monax (woodchuck)
Lineage: Eukaryota; Metazoa; Chordata; Mammalia; Rodentia; Sciuridae
Source: RNAcentral
CAGAUUUGAAGUUAAUCAAAGAAUUAAAUAUGCCUUAAAUUGUGUUUAUUGGAUAUGUUUCUCUUGAAACAGAUUUUUAUUAAAUGUGCAUGUUGAGUAUGUGCAGUUAUUUUUUUCCAUAAACUUCGGGAUCAAAUUACAGUUGAUACUUGCUCAGCUCAUUGUAGGGCAGCUUGUGAGAAAUGUAAUGGAUCAGAAGUGCAGAUCAGGUUAGUUGAAUGUUAACUCUUUCACUGCAGGGCCAGUUGUCAUCUGAAUUUAGUUCUUAAAAAAUAUUAUUCCCUUACUUUAAAAGUGAAAGGUUGUCUUUGACAUAAAAAAUAUGUCUUUAAGACAUAUUUUGAUUAAACUUAAGCUUAGUUAAAAUGACAGCAAGUUUUUUUUUAAUCAAAUAAGAAAAAGAUGUACUGUUAUUGACUGAAAAAAGAUUUUUUAAUGCCUAUGGCAAUUUGUUAGGCUAACAAAAGCUUUGAAGGUGAUAUUGGGCUUCAAACUAUUUUAUUUUUCUUUUGAGAAAACUGUGGCUAUGGAUCCAUGGCAUUUUACUAGUUAAAACAUCUUUAUUUAUUUCUCUUAGUUUGUUAAAAACUAGUAUUUGUUUACCUAGAAAGAACAUCUUCAUUUUUAGACAUUAUUGAGAAAAUAUGGAAAAUGGAUGUGAACAUUUUUAUAUUUUAUAAUUGCUAUGCACAUCUCUGCCAAUACUCCAGUUUUUAGUAACUACAAGGUAUUUAAUGUUGAUUCAUGUAGUAGCAUGAAAUGAAUUUAGAUGGAAAUAGAAUUGUUUGUGCCAGUUAUGACAUGACUUGGCAACAUUUGUAGCUUUUUAAGAUUGCCCUUCUUAAGUACUCUUAAAUCAGUGUCUAGCAAUUUAAAUUUUUCAUCCUUCUAAAAAUAGCAUGUAAGGGUUUUUUUCUAAUAAGGGCAUAUUUUUCUUUUUGAUAGAAUGUAAGUAAAAUUCAUCUAUCACUUUCAAAAAAAUGUGAUUCUGUGAGUUUAUCUUGUGUUUUCCACUAAUGGACUGUACACUAAUAAACAAAUGGAUCAUAGCACUUUUAAUUUUAGUUCAGUGUAGCUUACAAUGGAAGAAUGAAAAUCAUGUGUAUCUAGUGGAAAUUAUACUUUGCUGUUAUAAACCCUCAUUAAUAAUGAGGGAAAGGUCACCUUUUUAUAUGACAAAAAUUUGUGGCAAUAUGUUUAAUUUGGGAGAAACUUUAAAAAGAACUGAAUUCACAAUCAAGUAAACCUAUUUGUUUUAAUCCAGUACUUGAAUAUUCAAUUUUAUAUUGGAUGAGAAUCAUAUUUAUUCGUAGACGUGUCCUUACAAAAUUGAUUCAGUAUCUUCUUAAAUAUUAAAUGUACCAAAUUUAUAACUUAGGUACUAACUUAUCUCUAGGAACAAAUGAACAAACUAUCAUCAUAUUCAAAACUCCUAUUAAGUCUAACUUACUCCAUUGUCACAUAGUAUAAUAAAGUUUUUAAUGAAACAGGAAAUUCUUCUAUUUACUUUGUAAGGUUAACAAGUUUUGAAAUGUGACAUAUUUUACUUGAAGAAAUUCCAGUGACACUGAGAUGAAUCUGAUCCUUUAAUUUGAAAAGUGAAAUGUGAAACUAAGGAAGGUAGGUAAUUGUCAGUCCAGUCAUCUUCGAGUAAAGAAAAGUUGGUAUAUUACAACUCAAAAUGUAUUUUGAGUAUUGAACUCUUAUUAUUACUCUAACAUUUAAAAUUUGUUGGUAUGUGUAGGAGUUCUAGUGAUAUAUCUUUGUGUGAUUAUUAUGCUUUUUAAUUUUCUUUAUAAAAUCACAAAUUUUGACAACACUUUAAUGUUUUGUAAGCAUAGAUACUGUCAAAUUUGAAAAAUUUAGAUUAGGAAGUUUAUUAAAUAUUAAUAAUUUUAUGUAUUUCAACCAAUAGAAUGGGUUUACUUAUACUAUGGACUAGUAAUUUAUUCUGCUUUGGUUAAUCAGGUUUCUUGGGUUAUACAGUUUUGAUUGUCAAAAGCAGUUUUUUGCUUGAUUUUUAUCUUAAAUAACCUAAGAAGAAAUCAAACAAUGAAUUUAUGACAGCAAAGUUUUAUGCAGUGGUUUUCAGACUACUUUAUAAGGUGCUUCAGGAUUUUAAAAUACUUAAAUUGGAUUGAAAUUUUAAGUAUCUUUUUUUUUUUAAGAAAGAGUGAGACAGACAGAGAGAGAGAGAGUUUUUUUAAUAUUUAUUUUUUAUUUUUUGGAGGACACAACAUCUUUGUUUGUAUGUGGUGCUGAGAAUCGAACCUAGGCCGCACGCAUGCCAGGCCAGCGCGCUACCGCUUGAGCCAUAUCCCCAGCCCUUAAGUAUCUUUUAAAUUAUUUUAAAAAUUUAAGAAUACAGCUGCUUAUAACAUAUAUACAUAAUCCACCACAUUGGAGCAUACCACAGUUAUCUUUUGUUACAAGAUUAUUCUUAUGCAGGCCUUUAAAUUAAACUUGUUCUAUUAUCUUUGUUCAUAUAUUUAAACUUUUUUGUUGCUGUUAUCUACAGGAAAGAUUCUCAUUAAUUAUGAAGGCAUUGGCCUUUAAAAAAAAAUUCCUGUACAUAUCUGCUCAUGUUAAAUUUCUGUGAGAAUAUAAAUACUGUUAUCAGUAAUUGUUACUUUAUAACUAAAAUAUGUAUCAAUUUUUUUGUAUAUUUAUAUGCUUCAUAAUUUAAGUUCAAUAUGAGAUUUAAUUUAUAAAAGCAAUUCUGCUACUUCUCCCAGCUCCCUACCACCAAAAUUAAAAAAGGCAUACCUGCUAAUGUAGUGAUACUGGAAGCCAUAAAGAUGUGUUUACAAUUGAAUCUUAUAACAGGUCUUUUAAUUUUGAGCAAAAUAGCCAAUGUCCUUAAAACCUAGUUUUCUUUGGAAAAUGUGGAUAAUGUCUACCUGCUCCACAGGUGGCUUCAUAGCUCAAGGAAGAUAAUGUGUCUUAAGUACUUUGUAAAUCACGAAGUACAACUAUAAACACAAAAAGGAAAGGAAAAGACUAUAUAUUUAUACUUUUUCCGGAACAUCUAAGUUCUUUUUGUGUUGUUCAGUACAUGCUGAGUAAUAUGGUUAAUGUUCACUUUUCUCUUCAAUUUGUUUGCCUGCAUGAGAGUUAAAGAUUAUGCUUUUAGUUAGAAUGAUCAUUUUGCAUAUUUUUAUUUCUAUAUUUCAAUUCUCUCACUCCACAUACCCCUUAGUUAAAUGGUAAUGCAGUGCAUUGUUUUUGGAUUUUCAAAUAAUUAAAUCACCUCUGAUACUUCAGCAGAUAAGGGAAAUUGCUUUUUAGUGCAAAAAGAUUAUAAGGAUGUUUGUGCUUAAUAAAGGAUGGGGGUAAACUUAGCAUCAAGUACAGAUUUUUUAAUUAGUUCAGGAGAAGAGUUAUAAAACUAAAAGUCUUAAUCUUUUCUUCCCAUCUCUGUUCUUUUCAUUUUCUCCCUUGGAAAGAUUGGAUUAUAACAACUUAAGUUUGUAAUGAUCUUCACAACUGUAAGAGUACUUUUACAUUAUCUCUGACAUACAACCAGAAAGUCCACUUAAAUCUAAUGCUGUCUCUGUAAUAAACUAUUCAAAUUGUCUCCUGCAGUAUUAAGGUUUCCGUGGAAUAUCGUAGCAUCUGUGGAGUACCCAUAGGUACCUAAAAUUCUCCAGAUAAUAAUGAUUGGGAAUUGAAAAUUAGCCACUUUUUAACGUACUAUUGCAGAUCAAUUGGAGGAGAAGGAGAGUAGAGUAAGCUGGCUACUUUUAUUAUAUAUCUAGCAGUUGUUUGGUUAAUUUUUUUAAUAAGACAGUAUAAUAGUUCUCAAAAUAUGGUCCUCAGACCCCUGUGGGUAUCCAAGACUCUUUCAGAGAUCCUAGGAGAUCAAACUUAUGUUCAUAGUUUUUUUGGUCAUUUUUCUGUGUACAAAGCAAUGGGGGUAUAACUAUGCUGGCCCCUUAAUGUAAAUCAAGAUCGUGGCCCAAAAUAGUGAUCACUAUUUCCUUCACCACACAACACUGGGGGAAAAAAUUGUCACUUUCUCUGAAGAAUGUCCUUGGAGGACAGUGAAAACUUAAAUUUUGUUUAAAUCCUGACUAUUGAGUACUCACAUCUUUUUACCUGUUGAUGAAAUGGGAAGUUCAUAAAGUGCUUCUAUUGCAUAUCAAACUGGUUGUCUCCUGGGCAAACUUGGGCAGUUAUUUUAGUUACAAGCUGAACUAGCCACUUUUUCAUGGAACCCCAUUUUUACAGACAAAUGGUUACUCAGACUUGGGUAUUUAAUAAACUUUUUAUCUUAAAGAUGAGUAAUUUGAACUGAAAGUUCAAGGAAAAUAAUUGACAAUAUUUGUUGCUAGUGAUAAAGCUCAGCAUGCAAGGAAAAACUAAGUUUGGAGAACAUAUAUCUGCCUUCAUUAAGCUAGAAACCUUCCCAGUUCUUAAAGGUGCUCCCCUUGAGAUCAAGGAUGUUAUUAAUAAAUGUGAUUUUUUUGAUAUUGUGUAAUAAAAUGUGUCAACAUUUGGAAGAUCUGUACAACUCAUUGAAUCAGUAUUUUCUAAAUGACCCCUGUAUAAAGUCAUUGAUAAUCAGGGCCUUUCAUUUUUUUCACCAGCAAACAACCAGUUAAAGCAUAAUGGACACAAAAAAAUCUUAAAUCUAGCCAUUCUUUUUAUUCCUGGCAGUGCAUAUUGUCAUUUGUUGUCCUUGAAUUUUCAGGAUCACGUUACUCAUUUUUUAGAUGUUUACCAAAAUCAUACAUGUAAAAGAGCCAUUCAAAAUGCAAGAUGAACUAAAUGAUAUUAAUGUAAUAUAGAAUGUUAAGUUCACAGAUGUGGUUUCACAGUCCAUAUUGCAAUUAGCCUUGCAGAAGUUAUAGUUAUCAAGUUCUGUUGUAUCAAAGAGUAAUCAUCAUUAUCUACUUUUUUCAACUACAUGUCUGUGUCAGGCUAGAUUUCCCUCACAUACUUCAAUCAAAACAUAUCACAAUAGAUGAAUGGAAAAAAUCCAGUUGUCUUGUAAUAAACACACAUUAAAGAGAUUUGUAAAAAAAUGUAAAUGUCAAUCUGACUAUUUUGUUUUGGGAAAUAAAGUUAUUUCCAUAAAAAAUAUGUGACUUGUGUUAGCAUGUAAUGGAUGUUAUUAUUUUCAGUGAAUUCAACAUUUAAACUUUUCUCAACUUUAAUUUCUAUUAGUAACCCACACAUAAAUAAAACUUUUUUGGUGACCUCAAUUUUUUGAGUGUACAAUGGAAUCUGAGACCAAAACCUUUGAGAAUGGCUAAGCCAGAGUUUACUGACAGUAGAGAAUGGUAAAUAUAAAUGUAAUUCUAUGGAGAAAAUAAAAAGAAAAUGCUAUAGCACUGAUUAAAAAAAUGUGGAUAAGACCAACCCGCUUCUGUGCUGUGUGGGAAUCACUUGUAGACAAUGCCUAGCACCUUUUCAGUGACAUCCUAGAAGCUUCUCUAUUACCACAGUUAUGCGUUGGCUAAUUAGAGAUGAUAUUCUUUGAUUUUCAUAAACAUCCCUUUACCUGGAAGAAAUGGAUGGUGGGGAAUCUUUUGGAUCUGAAGGACUGUUCUCCCUAGUACUGUGCAAUAACUAAAGAAAUGUCAGAUUUAAACAUUAUGAUUGAUGCUUGGCUGCAAAGGAGAGAAAGACCCUGAGUAGUACAGCUAAAAGCUGAGAAAUGUGGGAGAAACAGCAGUGGAAGGGACAAAAUACAAUCAGACAAAAGUGUCAAUGUACGCUACUGAUAAUAAGCAUUCUUAUCACAAAAGCAAAAUCCUCAGUAUAGACAAAAGAUAGGAUAGCUCUGAAUAUGAUAGUCCCUAAUCAUCUUUCUCAAAGCUAUAAGGAACUUUCCAGUGUGAAGUGUAUGUGUCAGGUUUGUACACUCUACACAAAAGCUAUGGCAGCCUACAACUGCCUGCAGUGUGGUCUUGAAGGUUCAGGAUAAAGGUUCAUUUAUUCUAUCUGUUUAGAUUUAGUGAGACCUUAUGACUACCAAUAUCUAACCUGUCCCUUAGACAUCACUGCAAUGAAAAUGAGGAUGGGGAAGGAAGUGAAAUUUGCUAUAUACAGUAAAAUAUGUUAUCAGACAUUUAGUUAUGUUUCCCAUGACAGUUUCCUUAAACCCAUCAGUAGGUUGGCUAUAAACUAUUUUAAAAAAUAUAUCCAGAGUUCAUGUAUGGAAUUUUUACUUGUUCUUCAGAUAUUUUUUUCAAAACACUUGUGACAUCUCCCCAAAGCCUUUCCUAAUCUUCCAACUUUCUUCCUCCUUCUGCUUAUCCUCUAGAUUGCCAUGCCAUCCAAUUAUACUGUAUUUAUUGGUAUAUAAUAAUAAUAAUUUAGUUGUAACUAGCAUUAAUGAUGAAUUGUCAUAUUGAAUUAUAACUAACAAGUUAACACUUUUUUUCCGUAACAUAAAUUGUCUUAUUUGAGAUCUGGUUAAUGGAGAAUAUUUUUUAGCAAAGUGGAACUUUGAUUUAAAGACAAAUACUGGUGGUAUUUUUAUAUUGGGUACAAUAUAGUUGAGCUAAUACAAUGAAAAUUUCUCAUUUUCUACAAUAAGUUAGAUAUUUUUUUUAGGAUAUGAAAUCCCUAAAUUUUUUAGUUAUAAAUGGACAGGACACCUUUAUUUUGUCUAUUUACUUUUUUUAUAUGGUGCUGAGGAUCGAACCCAGUGCAUCACACAUG